UGAGGAAUAUUGGGCAAUGGAGGCAACUCUGACCCAGCCAUGCCGCGUGCAGGAAGACGGCCCUAUGGGUUGUAAACUGCUUUUAUAGAGGAAGAAACCCCACCACGUGUGGUGGGCUGACGGUACUCUACGAAUAAGGACCGGCUAACUCCGUGCCAGCAGCCGCGGUAAUACGGAGGGUCCAAGCGUUAUCCGGAAUCAUUGGGUUUAAAGGGUCCGUAGGCGGGCAAUUAAGUCAGAGGUGAAAUCCCACAGCUCAACUGUGGAACUGCCUUUGAUACUGGUUGUCUUGAGUUAUAUUGAAGUGAGUAGAAUAUGUAGUGUAGCGGUGAAAUGCUUAGAUAUUACAUAGAAUACCGAUUGCGAAGGCAGCUCACUAAGUAUAUACUGACGCUGAUGGACGAAAGCGUGGGGAGCGAACA
Molecule: ribosomal RNA, 422 nt
Filed under: uncultured Bacteroidota bacterium
Lineage: Bacteria; Pseudomonadati; Bacteroidota
Description: bacterial SSU rRNA
Rfam family: Bacterial small subunit ribosomal RNA
Source: RNAcentral